Molecule: long non-coding RNA, 249 nt
Filed under: Carica papaya (papaya)
Lineage: Eukaryota; Viridiplantae; Streptophyta; Magnoliopsida; Brassicales; Caricaceae
Description: long non-coding RNA (CPAP_LNC002898)
Source: RNAcentral
CUUCGGCUUCACAUUAUCAAAAAAGAACUCACGCGGAUAUAAAAAAGAUUAUUUGUCAAAUGUUUUGAUUUAUCCACACCACCAUUCUUUGACUGUUGACACUUGCUUUUAUUUUCUUUUUAAUUUCGUCACAGCUGGUGAUCUAACUCAGAUGCCAAGCUGUAUAAUAUGAUGAACUUGACAUUUCCGUGGUACUAUACUCCUCCAUCUCUUCCACUUUCUCUAAUCACUACUCUACAACGCACGCAC